RNAcentral lists this unclassified non-coding RNA (431 nucleotides) under soil metagenome. RNAcentral's name for it is "partial contains 5.8S ribosomal RNA, internal transcribed spacer 2, and large subunit ribosomal RNA". The stretch from base 1 to 120 matches the Rfam family "5.8S ribosomal RNA", at positions 35 to 154 of the family's 154-position model. The record is from RNAcentral.
GAUGAAGAACGUAGCGAAAUGCGAUACGUAAUGUGAAUUGCAGAAUUCAGUGAAUCAUCGAAUCUUUGAACGCAUAUUGCGCUCUCUGGUAUUCCGGAGAGCAUGCUUGUUUGAGUAUCAGUAAACACCUCAACUUCCAUAUCUUUUUUGAAAUGGGAGUUGGACUUGAGUGAUCCCAACGCUUUUCCUCACCGAAAAGUGGCGGGUUACUUGAAAUGCAGGUGCAGCUGGACUUUUCUCUGAGCUAUAAGCAUAUCUAUUUAGUCUGCCUAAAAAACAGAUUAUUACCUUUGCUGCAGCUAACAUAAAGGAGAUUAGUUCUUGUGCUGACUGAUGCAGGAUUCACAAAGACAGGCUUCGGCCGACUUUGUAAACUCGAUCUCAAAUCAAGUAAGACUACCCGCUGAACUUAAGCAUAUCAAUAAGCGGAA